GUGACAGCGUCAUAACAUUAGUCUCGUAUAUGAAAUGCGAUCUCGAACAAGGACAUAUAACAAAAAACAUUUCAACCGGAAUUCCGUUAAGGAUCAGAGCAAUCAGAACCAGCCGAUAGUUGAGACAAUUGAUCAAUCUAAUGACGGUGAAUCGUGGAUAUUAGCUGACGGUUUCUGCAAGAAAAGCGCGUGAUAUGUACUGGGACAAAAUCUGAGAUUGCGAUAAAAGGAAAUAUCAAUAAAACGUGCCGCUGCGUUAUUUCGGUGGAUUUUUCAGAAUGGAAUGGAAUCUCUUUUGGAAAGUUGCCUAUGUUCAGGUGUACCUUUUGUUAUUACCCCACGUGGCUUUUGGGGAUGCAUGCACAGAUGGCAGAUGUGAAUGUACGGACAACAUAAUUCAAUGCCGGAACACGACCGCGAAACCCUUGACCACGAUACCAAUAUUAGAUACCAGAAGGAUGGACAAGAUUGAAAAAAUAAUGAUAGAAUCACAGAAUAUAACGUACCUCAAUUCAUCAGCACUGAAACACUACUACAAGCUCUAUGAACUAAUUCUUAUAAAAUCUAAUGUGAGGCGGAUUGCUGACGACGCCUUCAAAAAUAACACGGAACUACAUUUCCUGUAAGUGCAU
Long non-coding RNA from Lineus longissimus, 632 nucleotides. RefSeq lists it as uncharacterized. The transcript has 3 exons. The record is from RefSeq and is a predicted model, not a curated record. NCBI's taxonomy places the organism in Eukaryota, Metazoa, Nemertea, Pilidiophora, Heteronemertea, Lineidae.